This 253-nucleotide ribosomal RNA is filed under the name uncultured bacterium. RNAcentral's name for it is "partial 16S ribosomal RNA". It matches the Rfam family "Bacterial small subunit ribosomal RNA", at positions 524 to 776 of the family's 1533-position model. The record is from RNAcentral.
UACAGAGGGGGCGAGCGUUGUUCGGAAUUACUGGGCGUAAAGGGCGCGUAGGCGGCCCGCUAAGUCGAACGUGAAAUCCCCAGGCUCAACCUGGGAACUGCGUCCGAUACUGGAUGGCUUGAAUCCGGGAGAGGGAUGCAGAAUUCCAGGUGUAGCGGUGAAAUGCGUAGAUAUCCGGAGGAAUACCGGUGGCGAAGGCGGCAUCCUGGACCGGCAUUGACGCUGAGGAGCGAAAGCUAGGGGAGCAAACGGG